This 332-nucleotide unclassified non-coding RNA is filed under the name soil metagenome. RNAcentral's name for it is "partial contains 5.8S ribosomal RNA, internal transcribed spacer 2, and large subunit ribosomal RNA". The stretch from base 1 to 120 matches the Rfam family "5.8S ribosomal RNA", at positions 35 to 154 of the family's 154-position model. The record is from RNAcentral.
GAUGAAGAACGCGGCAAAAUGCGAUAAGUAAUGUGAAUUGCAGAAUUCAGUGAAUCAUCGAAUCUUUGAACGCACAUUGCGCCCGCCAGUAUUCUGGCGGGCAUGCCUGUUCGAGCGUCAUUUCAACCCUCAAGCACAGCUUGGUGUUGGGACUCGCGUUAAUUCGCGUUCCCCAAAUUGAUUGGCGGUCACGUCGAGCUUCCAUAGCGUAGUAGUAAAACCCUCGUUACUGGUAAUCGUCGCGGCCACGCCGUUAAACCCCAACUUCUGAAUGUUGACCUCGGAUCAGGUAGGAAUACCCGCUGAACUUAAGCAUAUCAAUAAGCGGAGGA